CUUUAUCACUCGUGUCUCUGAAAUGAAUGCACGUGAACAUGUGUGAUUAAGAAAAGCCUUGCUACUGUGCAUGUUUAUUGGUUUAAACUUUAUAUGUAGUUAUGCAUAAAGUUGUUUCAUUAACAGAAGCCACGUGUCUUCUUAAAAUUAAUUCGAUAACGAAUCCGGAAUUAAUACGAAAUCGGUUUUAGUUUUGUCGAUGACAAAAUAUACGUCACAUUUUUACAUCACGGAGGCAGAAGAUCGAACUGCAGGAUGAAUUUAGCAGAGGUAAUGAUUGUCAAGCAUUCGUUUUUAUUUACUUACAUUUGAAAAUUAUAUCGUACAAUUACUGAUAGCAAAAGGGUAAACAUGUAGCACGGAGCUGUAACUGUGUUCUCCGGGAAAAAGUAUGUAAUAAAUCCAGAGGUGCUCGAAUGAAAGUUCACGAGACUUCAUCGAAAUUUGUUCAGUUCCUGUUAAAUUUCGAGCGGAAGUAUAAGUGUUCGGAUAAUAUUCUCAAAAUACGUAAGUACUGGUCGAUUUUCAUAUCAUAUCUUACUUUGAUUUAUGUUAAAACAUCAACAUCUUUUAAGAUGUAUGUCUUAUUACACCAUCUAGCGGUUUUUUAAAUUAAACGAUGAUAUUCAGAACAGAGGUAUCGUUCGUGUUUAACCACGUGUAGAGUGGUUGAUAAUAUAAACAUUGGGUUGCUUAAUAAAAUCAUAGCCAUGUUUGAUGCUUGUGGUGUGCAAUACCGUGUUUUAAAAAAAAUAAUGGGUGAAUAUUUUGCAUAAAAACUUAGUAUAUUGAGCCAUUUUCAAGGAACAUUCUGCAUAAAAUAGUACAGUCUGUUUCACUAUUGAUGUUAUUACUAGGUAAGGCGCGGAUCGAAAAUUAAUUCUUAGGGGGGAUCUCUACUACGUAUGUUAAUUAUCGCAACAGCAGAAAAAACUAUUUUUUGUUUUGUCACAUUUAUUUCUAGAACACAUUUUAUCCACCAAUUAUUGUAGUGAAGUUUAAAAUCAAUAAACCUCUAGAAUUUAUAUUUGACUACAAGUACCUUGAUUCUCUAAAAUAGACUUUAAACACGAGGCACGAUUUUUACUGCGAAACUGAAAGGGUCAAAUAAAACCACGAUCUAAAAUUUAAAUGACAAUAACAUUCGCAGGGGUGUAUACGUCGACCUUGGAUAAGACGCAUUUGAAAACUGAAAUAUUGAAAGUACAGAAAAACUAGAGCAAAGCCUAUGCAAAGUAACGAGUAGAUCUUCCAUUGCAACUAAGUGAAAUGAUCAUUGAAUUGCCUCUAUUAAGUUGUAUUCUUAUUGCAUGGUAAUUGAAACAUUUUUAUAGGCAUGCAUUGGCUGCUUGACAUAUCCCUUGGAGAGGACAUCAACUAGCUAACACAGUCAAUGACAGAUGUCUCUUUGAAUUGAUAAAAUCGUAAUCAAAUGGAUAUAAUACAGAACUUUCAAAGAUCUCUUUUGAUGUAGCCUAAAGAUUUGUAAUGAAUGAUCCAGGAUCCAAAAGUUCAAAGACAGUUGCAAUGUGGUUGCUAAUUUAGUGACAGAUUAAGAAAGAAGUUCAAACAAGCAUUGUCAUGGGAAAACAUUAAAAAGGAAGAAGUUGGAGGUGGACAAAAAUCAGGAUGAAUAUGUUAGAGGUAAAAAUUAGUUUGUCAAAUUAAUACCGGUACUUGUGAUUGACCUAAGGCUUUUG
Molecule: long non-coding RNA, 1700 nt
Organism: Magallana angulata
Lineage: Eukaryota; Metazoa; Mollusca; Bivalvia; Ostreida; Ostreidae
Exons: 3
Source: RefSeq, a predicted model, not a curated record